RNAcentral lists this ribosomal RNA (468 nucleotides) under Centris inermis. Its description in RNAcentral is "partial 16S large subunit ribosomal RNA". The record is from RNAcentral. Lineage: Eukaryota; Metazoa; Arthropoda; Insecta; Hymenoptera; Apidae.
GUCGAUCUGCCCAAUGAAGUAAACUNUGAAUGGCUGUAGCAUACUGACUGUACAAGGGCAGCAGAAUUAAUUGUCUUCUAAUUGAAGACUUGGAUGAAAGAAUUAAUAAGAUAUNUACCGUCUUUUAAAUNUAAAAUGCUAAAAUUUUGUUAUGGGAUAAUAAGGCUCUAUAGAAUUUUAUGAAUAAUUUAUUANUGAGAUAUNUUGUACAUAUAUAAUCAUUUNACAAAUAAAUUNUUUACUUAGGUUAGGAAGACACGGAAGUUUAAUAAACUUUAUUAUAUUAUGUAUACUACGACUAUAGAAUGAAAUAACGAAUUAACUNUUUUAAUUAUUAGAAUAAUNUUACCUACGCACAGCGUACGAACAGCGUAAUAUCUUUUGGAAGGACAUAUUCAUAAAUAUGUUUGCGAUGUCGAUGUUGAAUUAAGAUAUAUGUUAAAUGCAGGAGUUUAAAUAGUAAGUUUG